AGAGUUUGAUCAUGGCUCAGGACGAACGCUGGCGGCGCGCUUUAUGCAUGCAAGUCGAACGGACCUUCGGGUCAGUGGCGGACGGCUGAGUAACGCGUAGGCAACCUGCCCAGUGGUGGGGGAUAACUCGCCGAAAGGUGAGCUAAUACCGCAUGAGUUUGGUGGUUGAAAUACCGCCGAGGAAAGCAGCAAUGCGCCACUGGAGGGGCCUGCGUCCUAUCAGGUUGUUGGUGGGGUAACGGCCUACCAAGCCGAUGACGGGUAGCUGGUCUGAGAGGACGACCAGCCAGAAGGGGACUGAGACACGGCCCCUACUCCUACGGGAGGCAGCAGCAAGGAAUCUUGGGCAAUGGGCGAAAGCCUGACCCAGCGACGCCGCGUGAGGGAUGAAGGCCUUCGGGUCGUAAACCUCUUUUAUGGGGGAAGAAGUUCUGACGGUACCCCAUGAAUAAGCCACGGCUAACUACGUGCCAGCAGCCGCGGUAAUACGUAGGUGGCAAGCGUUGUCCGGAUUUACUGGGCGUAAAGGGCUUGUAGGCGGUUCGUUAAGUCUGGUGUGAAAUCUCCCGGCUCAACUGGGAGGGGUCAUCGGAUACUGGCGGACUUGAGGUAGGUAGAGGAAAGCAGAAUUCCUGGUGUAGCGGUGAAAUGCGUAGAUAUCAGGAGGAAUACCAGUGGCGAAGGCGGCUUUCUGGGCCUAUCCUGACGCUGAGGAGCGAAAGCGUGGGGAGCAAACCGGAUUAGAUACCCUAGUAGUCC
This 759-nucleotide ribosomal RNA is filed under the name uncultured bacterium. RNAcentral's name for it is "bacterial SSU rRNA". It matches the Rfam family "Bacterial small subunit ribosomal RNA", at positions 8 to 796 of the family's 1533-position model. The record is from RNAcentral.